CCUACGGGAGGCAGCAGUAGGGAAUUUUGCGCAAUGGGCGAAAGCCUGACGCAGCAACGCCGCGUGACCGAUGAAGCCCUUCGGGGUGUAAAGGUCUGUCAGUGGGGACGAACGAUGACGGUACCCACAGAGGAAGCACCGGCUAACUCCGUGCCAGCAGCCGCGGUAAU
Molecule: ribosomal RNA, 170 nt
Filed under: uncultured bacterium
Lineage: Bacteria
Description: partial 16S ribosomal RNA
Rfam family: Bacterial small subunit ribosomal RNA
Source: RNAcentral